GUCCAGACUCCUACGGGAGGCAGCAGUGAGGAAUAUUGGUCAAUGGCCGGAAGGCUGAACCAGCCAAGCCGCGUGAAGGACGAAGGUGCCAAGCAUUGUAAACUUCUUUUGUCAAGGGACAAAAUCAGGCUCGAGAGCCUGACCGAGGGUACUUGAAGAAAAAGCAUCGGCUAACUCCGUGCCAGCAGCCGCGGUAAUACGGAGGAUGCGAGCGUUAUCCGGUUUUAUUGGGUUUAAAGGGUGCGAAGGCGGAGUUUUAAGUCGGGGGUAAAAGCCGGGGCCUCACCCCCGGGGAGCCGUUGAAACUGGCUGUCUUGAGAUGUCGAGAGGUAUGCGGAAUGCGCAGUGUAGCGGUGAAAUGCUUAGAUAUUGCGCAGAACUCCGAUUGCGAAGGCAGCGUACCGGCGCCCAACUGACGCUCAUGCACGAAAGCGUGGGUAUCGAACAGGAUUAGAUACCCCUGUAU
This 466-nucleotide ribosomal RNA is filed under the name uncultured bacterium. Its description in RNAcentral is "bacterial SSU rRNA". It matches the Rfam family "Bacterial small subunit ribosomal RNA", at positions 329 to 793 of the family's 1533-position model. The record is from RNAcentral.